GCAGAGACAGGACAAUAUAUUAUACAUAUGUAUAUAGAGUGUCGCAGAUGGUUGUGAUCAUUACAUAAUACAUGGUCAGCAUGGAAUGUGGAGACGUACAAACAGUGUCUUUAAUAUCAUUAGGUCUACAUAUAUAUUAUGAUGCAUAAACAAAAGACAUUUGGAUAUUGUUUUCCAAAUAAGACAUAAACGUCGUUGGUAGACAAAAGAUGGUACAUACAGUGACCAAGAUUAGGAAUAGUAGUCAGGCUGCAUUAUAGCCAUUACAGGUUUUUUGCGUAUCAGAUGGAUGUUGAAUCCUAUCAUUUUUUCCCAUGUACCACACAUCCGUCAUGGCAAGGAAAAUCUUGGUCAGUUCAUACAGAAUGGGUUGUAUAGAACGAUUUGUAGUUUUGAUACUUAAGUACCAUGUGCAAAAAAUCUGGUAGCUACAAAUUAGUAGUCAUAAAGCAUAAUGGUAUAAAAGUGAUUUAUAUGGUAAAUCUUUGUAAGUCAUUUUCCAUUGCAGUUGUAAUUUUGGUAAGUUAGUAUUUGAUUCUCCAAAUUUUAAAUUAACUUAUUUGACUGUAAGAAAAGCUAUUGUCAUUAGAUGUUUGGCAUUGUUUGUUUAAUUUUGAGCAACAAUAAUUAGCAUGUGUGUCUUGAGGGCAGUUGCACAGUGGGGGGAAAUAGCCUUUACAUACAAUGCAGGAAGUGAAUGAAAUAGUCAUACAUUUAUCCUUAUCGGAUGCAUCCUCAUCGCAAUCAAAUUUUAAAGAUUUGCGUCUAGCCCUGAUUCAAAAACAACGGUGAAAUGAUGGAUUUCAGAAGGGAGAAGAUCGUCAUUUUGUGCAUUUUAUUUCAGUACCUUUUCGGUGGUGACUCAAAAGACUGUAGAUUUUGGUCUUCAAUUCCAAGGCUGCCUUGAGCUUCAAGGUUGUUAUGUUGCUGGCAUGUAAAUCAAUGUGUAAGCAUAGGGACAUGUAAAGCUAAAUAAGUUGGAAAAAAUGAAGUAUUAAACACGUUGAGUUUGACUUACAUCUAGAGAAUGGUUGUUGAUAGGUUGGACAAUGUUGUAGAGGGUGAAAUUUUUUGUUUUGUUCUAGAUAGUAGUUUUGUUGGAGUUGACGGAUAUGCUAGAAUGUUUAAUUUGUUUGAUGGCAAGGAUAGGUUUCUUCCAUCUGAAGCUAUAAAUGACAUUUUGUUGUAAACAACUACGAAUGUGACACAAUUUGAAAUACGGCUCAAACCAAAAAGACAGCAGCAACGUAAUAGAAGGAAGAAAGUAAUAUUUGCAUAGGUAGUGAGAAUAAACAUAGUACUCACUUGUAUGCUUUGAUUGUUGAAAGAUCCAAUUGAACGUAAUAGAAGGAAAAAAGUAAUAUUUGCAUAUGUAGUAAGAAUAAACAUAUUACUCACUUGUAUGUUUUGCUUGUUGAAAGAUCCAAUUCUUGCGACCAUACACCUUAGCGCCAACACAAAUAGCUACAGAGGCACGUUUUGAGCAAAAGAAAAACAAAGCAUAAAUAAAUUAGAGUACAACCACACAAAUAGACGUAAUAAUAGACGACUGAUAUCAAUAAAAAGCCUAAGGCAUUGCAUAAGAGAAGUGCAUUGAAAAUAGAAUAUAAUUACAUAAAUGGAGAUAAUAAUAGAGGAUUGAUAUGAAGCCAAAACAUCCAGGUUUUAAGUAAUAUACACAUAAAUAGUAAUCCGAAACAUCCAAAUUGUAUGGCAUACUACAUAAGAAGUAACGGAAUACAGUCACUCAAAUGAAGGCAAUAAUAGAGGACUGAGAUCAAUAAGGAGGCCUAGCCAGAGCAUUGAAGAGAAGAGCAACAAAAAUAGAAUACAACCAUGUAAAUAGAAGCAACAGGACUAAUAUUAAGCUGAAACUUUUAGGUUUUAAGCAAGAUCGUCAUCUACAACAGAAUUUAAUAAUAGACGACUGAUAUCAAUGAAAACGAUAAUGCAUUGCAUAAGAAAAUAGCAUUGGAAAUAGAAUAUAGUUACAUAAUUGGAGAUAAAAAUAGAGGAUUGAUAUGAAGGCAAAACUUCUAGAUUUUAAGCAAUAUACACAUAAAUAGUAAUCUUAAACAGCCGAAUUGUAUGUGAUAUUACAUAAGAAGUAAGAGAAUACAGUCACUCAAAUGAAGGUAAUAAUAGAGGACAUAUAUCAAGCAAGAGGCCUAGUCAGAGCAUUCAAGAAAAGAGCAUAAAAAUAAAAUACAACCACGUAAAUAGAGGCAACAAUCGAGGACUAAUAUUAAGCUGAAACUUCCAGGUUUUAAGCAAGAUUGUCAUCUAUAACGAAAUACUUACAACGAAUGAAUGUAAAUGUAAGUAGGGCUUGGGUGAUAUAACAUUUGAUGAUCAGGCGCAUAAUGCACGUAAAAAAAUAUAUAUGGGCCGAACUAAAAAGGUAUUAGCAAUGUAAAAGAUGAAAGACAGUAACAUUUACGUAGGUAGUAACAAUGAACACAAUAUUUACAUAUAUGAUUUUGCGGCUGACACUUCGCAGCAAGAGGCUAAGUCGGAGCAUUAAGAAAAGAGCAUAAAAAGUAAAAUACGACCACAUAAAUAGAGACGGUAAUGGAAGAGUAAUAUUAAGCUAAAAUAUGCAGAUUUGAAGCAAUAUUCCCAUGUAUAACAUAAUUCUUACAACUAAUGAAUGCAAUUGUAAAUAGGCUUUGGGUGGUAUACAUAUUGAAGACCUAUAAAAGGCAAUUGGUUGUAUCAUGUAAAGCGUGAGUAAAGAAAUUUUAAGAAGACAAUACAAUAAGAUGAACUAAAAUAUUCCAUGAAUACACCCCAAAAUAACAUAUACUGUAGAAAAGGUCCAAAAAAAUAAGAAAGGUUAGAUUGAAGUCUACAUUUGUAUGUUGGACCCCUGACCAUGCCUUAUAUUAGCACAGAGCGAAUCACCUUUUAUUUUAGGGAAAUGCAAUACCCUAAUCUUGUUUGUAAAGGGGGUAAAAAAAAUGAAGGAGCAUAGAUAUUAGGUAGCAGUCCAAAUGCACGAACGCGUUUGUGGAUGCGGGGCGAGCAGUAAAAAGCAAAGGCAGGUCCAUUUCAGGGGAAAACACAUUUCAGAGAAAAACACAUUUAGGGUUUCUAAUGUGGCAUAAUAAAAGAGAUCAAAAGGCAUCUAUGCCUUAUAGUGUAGGUAGACUAAAAAAGGGCAGCAAAAACAUGCGUGCUUUCAAGUGUACAUGGAGACCCCAUUGCAAAGAUUCAAAACCAAACGCAAUGUCUCCAUACUGGAAAGCAAUCAGAGUUUGGGACCCUUCUACUGAGCAACGAAUAGGGUAAAGGAAAGUGAAGCCUGAAAAGGAUCUAUUUACCUCCAAGAAACGACGGCGGCGGGGGCUGGACGCACGUUGAGGCAGCGGCGGCGUCGCUGUCGGCGCUAGCAGCGUGGUCGUUGUGGUAAGAAGGAGCAAGCAGACCGAGAGCCUUCUAGGCGGUGCCGGCGUGUUUUCCUUUUUUUUUAUUGACCAG
RNAcentral lists this long non-coding RNA (3480 nucleotides) under Zea mays. RNAcentral's name for it is "long non-coding RNA (ZMAY_LNC002669)". Lineage: Eukaryota; Viridiplantae; Streptophyta; Magnoliopsida; Poales; Poaceae. The record is from RNAcentral.